This 254-nucleotide ribosomal RNA is filed under the name uncultured bacterium. RNAcentral describes it as "partial 16S ribosomal RNA". It matches the Rfam family "Bacterial small subunit ribosomal RNA", at positions 524 to 776 of the family's 1533-position model. The record is from RNAcentral.
UACGUAGGGUGCGAGCGUUAAUCGGAAUUACUGGGCGUAAAGCGUGCGCAGGCGGUUUUGUAAGCCAGAUGUGAAAGCCCCGGGCUUAACCUGGGAACUGCAUUGGUGACUGGCAGGCUUUGAGUGUGGCAGAGGGAGGUAGAAUUCCACGUGUAGCAGUGAAAUGCGUAGAGAUGUGGAGGAAUACCGAUGGCGAAGGCAGCCUCCUGGGCCAACACUGACGCUCAUGCACGAAAGCGUGGGGAGCAAACAGG